Molecule: long non-coding RNA, 1079 nt
Filed under: Bos indicus x Bos taurus (hybrid cattle)
Lineage: Eukaryota; Metazoa; Chordata; Mammalia; Artiodactyla; Bovidae
Description: lncRNA (ENSBIXG00005024799.1)
Source: RNAcentral
GUAGGGCCUGAAAAACAAAUGGAACUUUGCAGAGAACCCAAGAGUCCUUCUGCAUCUAAGGAAAAGCUGAGUGUGGACCUGCUGUCAGUGAAACAGGAAGAGGAAGGAGAGUCCUAUUCUGGAACCUCAUCCCGAGUCCAUGGAAGAUGAUUAACAAAAAAUCUUGAUAAUGGCUUCUUUGGGAAUGAUGCCAACUAAAUUGUUAUUAAGUCCAGAGGAAAUCAAUGCUGAUAUAAAAUGUGAAUUAAAGAAGUAAAUUCAGCAACCUGAACAAAGAAAUGAUGACUGAUGAACCAAAGUAGUUUGCUGUAGAGCCUAAAACACUAAAGAAACACCAUGGAGAACCCAGGAGUCCUUCCUCAUCUAAGAGGUCAAGUGUGGCAUUGCCGUCAAUGAAACAAACAAGAGAUGGAGAAUCCCAUCUUGGGGCCUCAUCUGUGUCCAUGAAGAUGAAUAUGAAAAAAUCUUCAAAUUGCUUAAAGGAGUGCAAGGACCUCCAGAUGUAAGGAAACAGUUUGUUGAAUUUGCCAUCAAAGAAGCAGCAAGAUUUAAAAGAGGGCACUUAAUCAAGCACCUUAAGAUAAUACUAGAAAAAAUAGAUUCUGACCAUUUUCUCAACAAAGACAUUUGCAUUCUAAACAUAUAAUCCUGUUAUCAUCAUGAUCAAUAAGAAAUAAUGACCAGAUUGCCAUCUUCUGGAUGGAAGGGAAUGUUGUCAAAGCCUCUCAGCAUGUAUUUGGUUAACAAAAUUGUCUCCAGAAGCUAAGAAAAAGCAUUGGAAAUUUAAUGUUAUAAAUUUCUGUUAGUAAAAGCUGGGCAUUUGCCCUAAGCAUUUUAUUUGAAUGAAUAAUUUGUUGUUUGUCUUUUCACCUGAGGUGGGGGUGUUAUUAAAUCACCCAGUAAAUACUGUUACAGUUCUGGUUUCUUCAGCAUGUCACCAUGUGUAGCUGGUAUUUAUUACUGCACCCUUUCCCUAUCCAUUUCUUAUUUUUCCUCCUGAGGCAGCACUGAGGCAAAACUCAGCUGGUUUUGGUGCUUGGCUUGAGGGAGGACUCCAACCUCAAUUACAAAAGAGUCUG